This is a long non-coding RNA of Amphiprion ocellaris (clown anemonefish), 562 nucleotides long. NCBI's taxonomy places the organism in Eukaryota, Metazoa, Chordata, Actinopteri, Pomacentridae. The record is from Ensembl.
CAGCAAUGUGCCGCAAGGCAUCCAGCCUGCCGGAAAUUCAGAAGAAGAAGAAGAAGAAGCAGGAAGAGCUCAGCGCUGCCUCCCAGAGAAGCUAAUGUGCAGUCGGGGUGUAAGUACCUGCUUUAAACAACGAUAUAUGGCACAAUUCUUAACUUCUACCACCCAAUACCAACACAUUAUUAUCGUUACAAGUCCUCAUUUUUGCUGCAUUUAAUCAUAGGUUACUGUUUAUGUUGUUAGGUAGGAGUUCGCUGACGUUUUUUCUAGCUAGCAAACGCUCCAGGUGGUCAGUGUCUGUUUGAGCUGCUGUUGUGUCAAGUGCAUGUGUUCAUAUUAAAGCCAAGGUGCUACUGACUAGCUAACUGACUGGAUGCACAUUAACAUUAGAACUCCUAUUGUGUGUGUGUGUGUGUGUGUGUGUGUGUGUGUGUGUGUGUGUGUGUGUGUGUGUGUGUGUGUGUGUGUGUGUCUGUCUGUCUGUCUGUCUGUCUGUCUGUCUGUCUGUCUGUCUGUCUGUGUGUGUGUGUGUGUGUGUGUGUGUGUGUGUGUGUGUGUGUCUGUG